GCUUUAUCCUUCCUUGGAUGUCUGAAACCGAUGAAUGUUUUAAUUCUCGUUUUUAUGUUUUUGUCUGUAAGAAAGAUCAAUGAUGAUAAACUUAAGGCUUGUUUCUCAAAACAUUCGCAGUGGCCGCCUAAAGCUUUCG
RNAcentral lists this small RNA (139 nucleotides) under Arabidopsis thaliana (thale cress). RNAcentral's name for it is "ATSL238980". The record is from RNAcentral. Lineage: Eukaryota; Viridiplantae; Streptophyta; Magnoliopsida; Brassicales; Brassicaceae.